AGAAACAACAUUAAACUCGUAUUACACCCAGAGAUUCAUCCAUAUCUAUAUAUUAUAUAUGUGUGUGUGUGUGUGUGUGUGUGUGUGUGUGUGUGUGUGUAUGUGACUCAAAAGCAAAGCUAACGAAUAAAUGCACAUAGACUAAUCUCUAUGCCAUAUGUGACUAUAUUUGCUAUUUUUUAUUUUUAACAGCAGGGUCUCACUAUGUAGCCCUGCCCGAGCUGUAACUCACUCUGUAGAUCAGGGUAGACUCAUCCUCAAGACAUGCCUGCCCUAACCUUCUGAGGGUUGAGAUUAAAGGUGUGUACUACCACACCCAGCUAUGCAUUUGUGCUCCUUUUGUAAGAUUCUAUUCUUAAUAAAACUGCACUAGUCUCUAAGACACUGAUUUGCCCAGGCAGAGGUCAGAGACUAUGGCGCUGUCUAGGACAGUGGUUCUCAACUCUCCUAAAUGCUUCGACCCUUUAAAUACAGCCACAUGUUGUGGUGACCCCAACCAUAAAAUUAUUUUCAUUGCUACUUCAUAAUUUUGCUAGUUAUAAAUCGUAAUGUAAAUUUUGGUAUUCAGGAUGUCUGAUAUGUGACCCCUGAGAAAGGGGUGUUUGGCCCUCGGGGUUGUGACCCACAGAUUGAGAACCACUGGUCUAGGAGCAGUUGCAAGCGUAUGCUGUCCUACCAGAGGAACAGAGUUCGGUUCUCAGCACCCAUAUCAGACAUCUCACAACUGCCUCUAACUCCAUAGCCCCCAUGGGCAUCUGGUGGGCAACAGUGCCCAUUCCCACAUGCUGACACAUACCUAUACAUAAAUGUUUAAAAUAAAAAAAAUAAUAAUUGAGUUUGGUUGUAUAACUUGGGUAGAGUUCAUGAGGCUGUUAGUUCAAUCCCAAGUACCACAAAUACACCCAAGACGAGCUAAUGCAAAGCUGAAUGGGUUAUAAAGCAAAUUCUGUUUCAGGUCUGGACAGAGAGGGCCCAGCAGAUCUGAAAGGUGAAGAUGAGUGCUGACUUGACGGCUUACUCAGUAAAGUAGUCACUGUAUAAGUCUGUAGACCUGAGUUCAAUCCCUCCAAUCCCAGAGAGGCGGAAGGAGAGAACCAACUCCACAAAGCUGUCCUCUGACCUCCGCUGCCCAUCACACAGUGACUGAUGUUGCUUCUCUCCGACCUCUGCUGCCCAUCACACAGACAGUGACUGAUGUUGUUGUCCUCUGACCUCCGCUGCCCAUCACACAGACAGUGACUGAUGUUGUUGUCCUCUGACCUCCGCUGCCCAUCACACAGACAACAGACAGUGACUGAUGUUGUUGUCCUCUGACCUCCGCUGCCCAUCACACAGACAGACAGUGACUGAUGUUGUUGUCCUCUGACCUCCGCUGCCCAUCACACAGACAGACAGUGACUGAUGUUGUUGUCCUCUGACCUCCGCUGCCCAUCACACAGUGACUGAUGUUGUUGUCCUCUGACCUCCGCUGCCCAUCACACAGACAGUGACUGAUGUUGUUGUCCUCUGACCUCCGCUGCCCAUCACACAGAUGACAGACAGUGACUGAUGUUGUUGUCCUCUGACCUCCGCUGCCCAUCACACAGACAGUGACAGAUGUUGUUGUCCUCUGACCUCCGCUGCCCAUCACACAGAUGACAGACAGUGACAGAUGUUGUUGUCCUCUGACCUCCGCUGCCCAUCACACAGACAGUGACUGAUGUUGUUGUCCUCUGACCUCCGUUGCCCAUCACACAGAUGACAGUGACAGAUGUUGUUGUCCUCUGACCUCCGCUGCCCAUCACACAGACAGUGACAGAUGUUGUUGUCCUCUGACCUCCGCUGCCCAUCACACAGAUGACAGACAGUGACAGAUGUUGUUGUCCUCUGACCUCCGCUGCCCAUCACACAGACAGUGACAGAUGUUGUUGUCCUCUGACCUCCACUGUCCAUCACACAGAUGACAGUGACUGAUGUUGUUGUCCUCUGACCUCCGCUGCCCAUCACACAGAUGACAGACAGUGACUGAUGUUGUUGUCCUCUGACCUCCGCUGCCCAUCACACAGUGACAGAUGUUGUUGUCCUCUGACCUCCGCUGCCCAUCACACAGAUGACAGACAGUGACUGUUGUUGUCUCUCUCGACUCCCACUUCCAUAUUUGUUUUACCUGCAGCCUGGUGGGUAAAACAUGCCUUUUCCUUUUCCCUACUCACAUAGGAUGGAUAACAGGAGGUUUUUUGUUUUGGUUUUUUCAUGACAAGGUUUCUCUGUGUUAACAGCAUUAGCACCCUGGCCUACUAAGCAAGUUCCUAUGUAGACCAGGCUGGCCUCAAACUCACAGAGAUCCACCUGCCUCUGCCUCCUGAGUGCUGGGAUUAAAGGUGUACACCACCAUGCCGGGCAUGGUUUUUGUUUUUAAAUAAUAUCCUUUAAAAAAUUGGGGGUGGGGGGUGGGCAGUGGUGGUGCGCACCUUUAAUCUCACCACUUGGGAGGACAGGACAGGCACCCAAACUACACAGAGAAAACCUGUCUCAAAAAACCAAAAAAAAAAAAAAAAAAUUGGGGCGGGGGGAGCUAUUUUGUAUGAGGGGGCACAUGUGUGGCAUGACUCCUGUGGAGGUCAGAGGACAAUUAGUGGGAAUGAGUUCUCUUCCUUCUACCAUGUGGGUUCCAGGGAUUCAACUCAGGUCAUUAGGCUUGGCAGGAAGCACCUUUAACCCACUAAUGUAUUUUGCCAGCCCCUUAAAUCAUUAUAUAAAGCAGGUUUUAGCAAAAAUAUUAAAGGAACUUCUACCUCAAUCAAAAUAGAAACAGCUAACUUCAUUACUAUGUGUUACCAAGGAGAGACCCUAUUUUUAAAACUAAAGUUGGAAUGCAAUCAAAGAAAGCACCCCAGGCCUCCAGAGGCAAAAACAUACAUUCACACACUUUUUUUGGUUUUUCAAGACAGUUUCUCUGUAUAACAGUCCUGGCUAUUCUGGAACUCGUGCUGUAGACCAGGCUGGCCUUGAACUCACUGAGAUCCACCUGCCUCUGCCCCCCAAGUACUGGGAUUAAAGGUGUGUGCACCCAGCUCACAAUUUUUUUUUAAUUAAAAAAAAUAAAAACGGUCAAGACAGGCAUUGUGGCACAAGUCUAUAAUCCUAGCCAAGGGUACUGUGGCAGGAAGAUAACAAGAUCAAAACCAGCUUGGGCUAUAGAAUGAGCUCAAGCCUGCCUGCAUAACUAAGUGAGACCCUGUGCCAAAAGGAGGGCUGGGGAUAUAGCUCAGUGACAGAAUACUUGAUUAGCAUGUGUGUACUGACUAAUUUUAUGUCAACUUGACACAAGCUAAAGCCAUCUGAAGGGAGAAAAAUGCCUCAAUAAGAUCAGGCUAUAGGCAGGCCUGUAGGGCAUUUUCUUAAUUAGUUAUUGAUGGGGGAGGGCCCAGCCCAUUGUGGGUAAUGCCAUCCCUGGACUAUUGGUCCUGGUUCUGUAAUAAGGGCAGACUAAGUGCUAUAAGCCACAGAAAUAUGUAGUAGGAAUUCAGCUGACUAUGGCAAAGCUACUACCUGGAAGAGCCAAGGAUUUUUCCAGAGAAUAAAGCCAAGGCUCAAGGAGUAUUGAUGUUAUUUGGCUUUUAAAUAUAUCGGCUGUCUCCUGCAAUAAAUUUCAUGUGUGCUAUUAUAGCUUCCCCAAUUGAUUCUUUUUCUUAAGAAUUAACAGUGUGGAUUGAUCAUUCUUUGGGCAUAGUAUUUCCCUAUACAAUUAAGAUAUUUGGAUAACAGUCACACAGGCAAGGCUUCCUUCUUCCAGGCUUUGUUUCUCUUUUUUAGCAUUAGAAUCAGAUAUCUCCUUUAGCUAGCAUCCAAGGCCAGGGCCAGCUCAGGACAAAAGCAUUUUAUCUGAAAUACCUCUCAAACACUGAAGGACAAACAGCAGACAGAAUAAGCAUUCCAGACCACCUGCUAGUCUCCUGAAUUAAGGUAAAUAUCCAUACGGAAACACCACCUAGGCCAGGUGGACAUUAGGUAUAUAGCUUUGUUUCUUGUGCAAAUUAAGCUUUAACCCUUCUUAGAACAGAAGGGCUUUUUAUAUACCAGGUACAUCAAACUGUGACACAGGCUGCCUAGCUACCCCUACCCUGCCAGAAAAUGGCACAGCCAAGUUAAAACUCUAAAACUGAGACAGUUAAAACCCCAAAGAAAAGUAGACAGUUUUAUUUUACUCAUGAUUUAUACUAACAUUGUAGACUCCUAACAUUUUACCUAACCAUGUCUAAGAAUGUAGUUUGAGCACAUAAAUUCCCUUUUUCUGAUAUAUUAAUUGAUUUUAGCUCUUAGUUGACCCCACCUCCUUUAACCACUCCCCUUUUGGGUUGUAAAAGAAAGCCUGGCAGUCACUGCCUGAGAAAAACCGCUUGUCUGCCUUUAUGGCCCUGUAAAAAUUCAAGUCUGAGUGACCUUCCCUUGGCCAGAGAAUUGCUGCUUUGUAUGGGUAUAUAACUGAAACACCUGAGAGACUUGAGGACUAGAAGACAGAGACUUGAGGACUAGAAGAGAGGAUUAGAGGAACGAGAUGGGGAAGAACUAGAUGGGAGAAUUACGACAGAAUUUAGAGAGUACAGCAGAAAAACGUAGAGAGAUAUCAUGCAAGAAAGGAGUGAAGGAUGAGAACAGAAUUGAAGCUGUGGAGAUAGAUUUUUGACUCAGAAGAACAAAGUGUAUGUGUGCACUUUAUAAAGAAUAAAGAGCUUGGUGUACUUAGAUUCAUUUCCUCAGAUUAAUUCCUGCCACUGGUAGCAUCUCUUCUGGAACCCUGGG
Long non-coding RNA from Peromyscus californicus insignis, 4782 nucleotides. RefSeq lists it as uncharacterized. The transcript is spliced from 2 exons. Lineage: Eukaryota; Metazoa; Chordata; Mammalia; Rodentia; Cricetidae. The record is from RefSeq and is a predicted model, not a curated record.